RNAcentral lists this long non-coding RNA (1600 nucleotides) under Canis lupus familiaris (dog). Its description in RNAcentral is "lncRNA (ENSCAFG00000051541.1, ENSCAFG00845020376.1)". The record is from RNAcentral. Lineage: Eukaryota; Metazoa; Chordata; Mammalia; Carnivora; Canidae.
GGAAUCUCUCCAGCAGCGAUACCUACUCCCUGGCCCUCCCGCCCCUUCCCUCCGAGCCUGGCCGCAGUCAGAGGAGGGAGCCGGCCGCGAGGUCUGAGGGCCCCCAGCGGCCGCAGCAGCAGCUCACGGGUACUGGAGCCGUUAAAAAAUGACUCAACCAGAAAUCUCAGUGUUCCAGUGGAGUGUGAAGGUGCCAUAAUGGGGCUGCAGAUGGAGGUGGUAAGUAGGAAAAAAGCAGAAGUUGGGGGUAUGGAGCACAGAUCAGCAGAUACCUAAGAGCUGCUAGAGUAGAAGAGAAGAUGCAGGCAGGUGGGAAUUGGAGGAGGGCUAGACCUGUUUCCCAAUGUCCUGCCUAGGGAUCCUUGAGUAAAUCCCAAGGAUCACCUCCCUGGACCAUUUCCCCACAUUGCCUCCUCCUGAGGUCAUUUUAGACUGAGAGACUAGAGACGUAAGUGGUAGGCGUAGGGUGUUCGGGGGACUCAAUAUAUACAGACAUAUAACUUUCUAUGAUAAACCAAUGCCUCAUGCUGGUUCUGUGGAAUACUCAUGAAGGGAACAAGCCCACGGCAUCCAGGGCAACCUAUAUGAGAAGAAGUUAACAGCCCUAAAUUUGAGUUAAGGCUCUACUUCUUGAUCAUGGCCAAGUCACUUUAACUUUGACCUUUAGUCUCUUCAUCACUAUAUAAAGAUGUUAACGAUGACACAGGGGUUUUGUGAGGAUCAGGUAAGAUAAAGGGACAUGAAAGCCCUUUUGUCAACUGAAAAUGCCACUUAAAUGAAAGGCUUUACUGAUAAACAUGAACCAGACUUCCAAAGUAAGAUACUAAUCUGUUCUUCAACAUUGCCUACCUCUUUUACACAUGCUCACAGGAUCAGGUGUCAGGGAGGGAACAUGAGAAUUGAAUAGCGGGCUAUGGACAGGCUUGGAGUAAGAAAGUAGUGGCCAUGCCCAGAAAUGGCCAUGCCCAAAAAUUAGGCCAAACCUAGAGCUCAGCCUGAGCUUAAUCCUCCCCAGCUCAUCCCCAUUAUUUCUCGGAAACAGCUUCCCUCCAAGACAAGAACAUUCCUCCCUUCGUUCCAUCAGCCAUCAAUUGCUGCCCAGGGCUGUAGUCUGCAUUCAGCAAUGAACUGCCACUGAGUAUGUUCUUUAACCCCUCAGGCAGUAGUGGGUAGGAAGUAGAGAAUGAGGAAUAAGUAGAUAAGGGGAAGGCAGCCCCAUCACUACACUGACUCAUGUCUGUCAUUGCUGAACUAGGGAGGAGCCUCGCCUUUCUGAAGCAGAGAAACCAAAUGACUGAGCAAAAGACCAAGACCCUGGAUGGAUACGGGACCUCAGUGGUCAGAACGGGACUGAAGCUCUGACAGGCACAGUGAGAAGAGCGCAGCCCUCAUUGAGGGCAGCAGCGGGAGCAGCCGAGACCUCCUCUUCCACAUAGCCCUGUCCCCUCCGAGGGAGCUGUGAAGAACCAGCAGUCCCUCUUUCAGUUUCUUUGGGCUCCCGGCAGUGGAUAGACUCUAGCACCUUCUUGCCUGUCGGGCUGUUGAGCAGCUUCCAGGAUCACAAAAAAGCAAGAAAGCGAAUUGAGCAGCAGCUUCCAGG